This 173-nucleotide unclassified non-coding RNA is filed under the name uncultured Trichoderma. RNAcentral describes it as "sequence contains ITS1". Lineage: Eukaryota; Fungi; Ascomycota; Sordariomycetes; Hypocreales; Hypocreaceae. The record is from RNAcentral.
CCGAGUUCUUCUGACUCCCAAACCCCAUGUGAACCUCAUACCAGUCGUUGCUUCGGCGGCACCGCCCCGGCGCCCUCGGGCCCGGAACCAGGCGCCCGCCGAAGGCCCGCAAACUCUCCUUGUAUACCGUCCCACCGGUGGCAUUAUCUGAGUAACAAUAAAAAAAUGAAUCA